Long non-coding RNA from Plodia interpunctella (Indianmeal moth), 514 nucleotides. RefSeq lists it as uncharacterized. NCBI's taxonomy places the organism in Eukaryota, Metazoa, Arthropoda, Insecta, Lepidoptera, Pyralidae. The transcript has 2 exons. The record is from RefSeq and is a predicted model, not a curated record.
UUAUUUUGAAGUAGUAAGGACCUCCCUUUCCAUCACAUACCUGCGUAGCUACGCAGGUAUGUGAUGGAAAGGAAGGUACCAAGGUACCUUUCUGUUGCGACGUGCGUAUAUUGUUUUACACGCUGUACACUGUUAUGUAUUGUAUGAUCUUUGUGGCUCAACGAUAUCGUUUUAUAUACGGGAAUAGGGUAUAUUACGCAAAGCUCAGCGCAGAUGGCGCUACUGGUACAACUAAGAUUUACGACCAGAAAUACCUUCUACGCAAUCGUGGUGCAAGUUUAAAGGAAAAAUUAUUAUUACUAUUAUAAUUAUUUUUAUUUUAGGUUAUGUUCUGCAUUAUUUGGUCAAACUGGUCAUAAACUGAUAUAAACUUGAUUUUGACUGAAGAUCUUACCUGUAUGAAGUCCAAGCGAUUUUUCCCAAUAUUUCGGCACCCGAAUAUGCUAUAUUGUUGUAUAUUUUCACUAACGAAUGCUUAUAUAAUGAAAGGAUUAAUAAAGUACUCUAAAAUAAA